RNAcentral lists this unclassified non-coding RNA (498 nucleotides) under uncultured Glomus. RNAcentral describes it as "SSU rRNA". It matches the Rfam family "Eukaryotic small subunit ribosomal RNA", at positions 591 to 1092 of the family's 1831-position model. The record is from RNAcentral. Lineage: Eukaryota; Fungi; Glomeromycota; Glomeromycetes; Glomerales; Glomeraceae.
CCAAUAGCGUAUAUUAAAGUUGUUGCAGUUAAAAAGCUCGUAGUUGAAUUUCGGGAUUAGUACGCUGGUCGUGCCUUCGGUAUGUACUGGUGUUACUGGUUCCUACCUUCUGACGAACCGUCAUGUCAUUAAUUUGGUGUGGCGGGAAAUCAGGACUGUUACUUUGAAAAAAUUAGAGUGUUUAAAGCAGGCUCGCGCUUGAAUACAGUAGCAUGGAAUAAUGAAAUAGGACGUUCGAUCCUAUUUUGUUGGUUUCUAGGAUUGACGUAAUGAUUAAUAGGGAUAGUUGGGGGCAUUAGUAUUCAAUUGUCAGAGGUGAAAUUCUUGGAUUUAUUGAAGACUAACUACUGCGAAAGCAUUUGCCAAGGAUGUUUUCAUUAAUCAAGAACGAAAGUUAGGGGAUCGAAGACGAUCAGAUACCGUCGUAGUCUUAACCAUAAACUAUGCCGACUAGGGAUCGGAUGAUGUUAUUUUUAAUGACUCAUUCGGCGCCUUACG